This is a long non-coding RNA of Uloborus diversus, 346 nucleotides long. RefSeq lists it as uncharacterized. The transcript is spliced from 3 exons. NCBI's taxonomy places the organism in Eukaryota, Metazoa, Arthropoda, Arachnida, Araneae, Uloboridae. The record is from RefSeq and is a predicted model, not a curated record.
CGUUAAAUCGCCACCAUCAUCACAACACGACAUGCGAUUACAAAUUAUCAGCUGUGUUUACUAGUUGUUGUCUUGCGGCAAGAAUAUCUGCGAGAUUGUCAGCUUUAAAUAUAGGUUUUGAAUUUCAACCUUAGUCAUGAUAAUGUCAAAAAUCAUCCGCCCCACAAAUUUGAAAAAUUUUGCUCGAUAUUUGUCUUCUGUGCCGCAAGCUGCCACAAAUGCCAAAACCAAUGGAGGAUAUAACUUUGAGCUUAGUCCGGAGCAGAAAGAAAUUCAGCAAAUGGCCCGGAAAUUUGCAAGAGAAGAAGUACUGCCAAAAGCUGCUGAACAUGACAAAACUGGAAAA